AAUACUGAAUAAAGGAGAUGAAGCCUUCUCAAAAACUGUUCCAGUAUAGAAUGGUUUAUCGACUUAUGAUGUCAUAAAAACUUGGGUGCGAGCGUCCACCAGGAAAAUUUUGAUCGAAGUACAGAAUUUUCUUGAAUCCGAGGACGAUAAUGUUUUUAUCAGCUGAUUGUAGAGGAGGAGUUUUGUCAGUGUUCGAUGGGUACUAACGUCAUAUUGUGGCUGCAUCACUUUUGUUUGGUACUUUGUGACACUGGGAAGAUAGAAUUUAAAAAAUGGACAUGGCGCUAUAUUACUGCAUCAGAGAUCAAUUCAGGUUUACUUAAAAUUUGAAGAAAAACAGUCAAGCAUCAUUU
This is a long non-coding RNA of Saccostrea cuccullata (small rock oyster), 353 nucleotides long. RefSeq lists it as uncharacterized. The record is from RefSeq and is a predicted model, not a curated record. The transcript is spliced from 3 exons. Lineage: Eukaryota; Metazoa; Mollusca; Bivalvia; Ostreida; Ostreidae.